AGACUAAGCCAUGCAUGUCUAAGUAUAAGUAUUAUACAGCGAAACUGCGAAUGGCUCAUUAAAACAGCUAUAGUUUAUUUGAUAAUCAAACUUACAUGGAUAACCGUAGUAAUUCUAGAGCUAAUACAUGCUGUGCGCCUAACUUCAUGGAAAGGCGGUAUUUAUUAGAUAACAACCAAUAUUCCCUAGGUCUAUCGUGGUGAGUCAUAAUAACUGAUCGAAUUGCAAAGCCUUUGGCUGCGAUAAGUCAUUCAAGUUUCUGCCCCAUCAGCUGUAGAUGGUAGUGUAUUGGACUACCAUGGCUUUCACGGGUAACGGAGGAUUAGGGUUCGAUUCCGGAGAGGGAGCCUGAGAAACGGCUACCACAUCUAAGGAAGGCAGCAGGCGCGUAAAUUACCCAAUCCUGACUCAGGGAGGUAGUGACAAGAAAUAACGAGCAGUGACAUCUGUUACUGAAUUGCAAUGAGCCGAAUUUACACCACUUAGUGAGGAUCGAUUGGAGGGCAAGUCUGGU
This 514-nucleotide ribosomal RNA is filed under the name uncultured marine eukaryote. RNAcentral describes it as "SSU rRNA". It matches the Rfam family "Eukaryotic small subunit ribosomal RNA", at positions 41 to 565 of the family's 1831-position model. The record is from RNAcentral.